UUCCUUGUCCUUUCCUCACUUCUGGUAGUUGCUGGCAAUCUUUGGAAUUCCUUGGAUGGCAUUCAGUGUCCCCCUCCACUGUCACAUGGCCCUCUGUGCCCUCCUGCAGGGAAGAAUCCAGUGCCGCAGAGAACAUAGUAAGAGGGCCGUGAAAGGAAUAGCAGAGGUCAGCCAAAGGCACCAUCUUGGAAGGGUCCAGUCC
Long non-coding RNA from Hyaena hyaena (striped hyena), 202 nucleotides. RefSeq lists it as uncharacterized. The record is from RefSeq and is a predicted model, not a curated record. The transcript has 3 exons. Lineage: Eukaryota; Metazoa; Chordata; Mammalia; Carnivora; Hyaenidae.